Molecule: ribosomal RNA, 465 nt
Filed under: uncultured bacterium
Lineage: Bacteria
Description: partial 16S ribosomal RNA
Rfam family: Bacterial small subunit ribosomal RNA
Source: RNAcentral
CCUACGGGUGGCUGCAGUGGGGAAUAUUGCGCAAUGGGCGAAAGCCUGAUGCAGCGACGCCGCGUGAGGGAUGAAGGUCUUCGGAUCGUAAACCUCUGUCAGCAGGGAAGAACGGUCACUGUGUUAAUCAGCAGUGCAUUGACGGUACCUGCAAAGGAAGCACCGGCUAACUCCGUGCCAGCAGCCGCGGUAAUACGGAGGGUGCGAGCGUUAAUCGGAAUUACUGGGCGUAAAGCGCUCGUAGGCGGUAUGUCAAGUCAAGUGUGAAAUCCCCGCGCUCAACGUGGGAACUGCAUUUGAAACUGGCAAGCUUGAGUGUGUGAGAGGAUAGUAGAAUUCCAGGUGUAGGAGUGAAAUCCGUAGAUAUCUGGAGGAACACCAGUGGCGAAGGCGACUAUCUGGAACAUAACUGACGCUGAGGAGCGAAAGCGUGGGGAGCAAACAGGAUUAGAUACCCCGGUAGUC